RNAcentral lists this ribosomal RNA (492 nucleotides) under uncultured bacterium. RNAcentral's name for it is "partial 16S ribosomal RNA". It matches the Rfam family "Bacterial small subunit ribosomal RNA", at positions 29 to 507 of the family's 1533-position model. The record is from RNAcentral.
AGCGAACGCUGGCGGUAGGCCUAACACAUGCAAGUCGAACGGCAGCACAGUAAGAGCUUGCUCUUACGGGUGGCGAGUGGCGGACGGGUGAGGAAUACAUCGGAAUCUACUUUUUCGUGGGUGAUAACGUAGGGAAACUUACGCUAAUACCGCAUACGACCUACGGGUGAAAGCAGGGGAUCUUCGGACCUUUCGCGAUUGAAUGAGCCGAUGUCGGAUUAGCUAGUUGGCGGGGUAAAGGCCCACCAAGGCGACGAUCCGUAGCUGGUCUGAGAGGAUGAUCAGCCAGACUGGAACUGAGGAACGGUCCAGACUCCUACGGGAGGCAGCAGUGGGGAAUAUUGGACAAUGGGCGAAAGCCUGAUCCAGCCAUACCGCGGGGGUGAAGAAGGACUUAGGGUUGGAAAGCCCUUUUGUUGGGAAAGAAAAGCAGCAGGUUAAUACCCCGCUGUUCUGACGGUACCCAAAGAAUAAGCACCGGCUAACUUCGUG